RNAcentral lists this transfer RNA (75 nucleotides) under Schistocerca americana (American grasshopper). Its description in RNAcentral is "tRNA-Thr". It matches the Rfam family "tRNA". From Rfam's summary of the family: Transfer RNA (tRNA) molecules are approximately 80 nucleotides in length. Lineage: Eukaryota; Metazoa; Arthropoda; Insecta; Orthoptera; Acrididae. The record is from RNAcentral.
GCCCUCGGUGGCUCAGAUGGAUAGAGCGUCUGCCAUGUAAGCAGGAGAACUCGGGUUCGAGUCCCGGUCGGGGCA